AGAGUUUGAUCCUGGCUCAGAAUCAACGCUGGCGGCGUGCCUCAGACAUGCAAGUCGAACGAUUAAAGCUCCCUUCGGGGAGUGCAUAAAGUGGCGCACGGGUGAGUAACACGUAAGUAAUCUACCUUCGAGUGGGGAAUAACAGUCGGAAACGGCUGCUAAUACCGCAUAAUGCAGCGGCAUCGCAAGAUGACAGUUGUUAAAGAUUUAUCGCUUGAAGAGGAGCUUGCGGCAGAUUAGCUAGUUGGUAAGGUAAUGGCUUACCAAGGCUACGAUCUGUAACCGGUCUAAGAGGACGGUCGGUCACACUGACACUGAAUAACGGGUCAGACUCCUACGGGAGGCAGCAGUCGGGAAUUUUGGGCAAUGGGGGAAACCCUGACCCAGCAACGCCGCGUGAAGGAUGAAGUAUUUCGGUAUGUAAACUUCGAAGAAUAGGAAGAAUUAAUGACGGUACUAUUUAUAAGGUCCGGCUAACUACGUGCCAGCAGCCGCCGUAAU
RNAcentral lists this ribosomal RNA (501 nucleotides) under uncultured Acidobacteriota bacterium. RNAcentral's name for it is "bacterial SSU rRNA". It matches the Rfam family "Bacterial small subunit ribosomal RNA", at positions 8 to 524 of the family's 1533-position model. The record is from RNAcentral. Lineage: Bacteria; Pseudomonadati; Acidobacteriota.